AGGCAAAGCGACUGUUUGACAACAACACAAGCUAUCAGAUUAUGGUUGGAAAGAAAUGAGCAGGGCAAAAGAGAAGAGCAAAACAGUAAAUAAACAAAAGAGAUGAAUUGAAUGGAAAUGCAAAAGAGAAAAGAUUUGAGUAGGAAUGCGAAUGCGGAUGCGAAUGAAAAAAAUGAAUGAAAUAGCUGCUGAUAAAUGGAAUGCAUCCUAUGCAAGAACAAAGAGUUUGGAAAUUGAGUGCAAUGACUUGAUUUCCAGAGUGAAGUAUUCAAUUGACCGUUGAAAAGUGGGUCGAGUGGGUUUCAAAGAUCAAUUGCUCAAUCUUUGGUGGCUGCAACUAUUCAUUUCUUUUUCAUCCGACAGUAUGCGUAUGUUUUGUUUUAUCUUGAGAUUUUGAGUGGGUCGCAUUCGCUUUUCAUUUCGCUUUCGCUUCUACCCGCCUAGUGGCAUUCGCCAUCCUUUUCGCUUCGCAGCUUAAUUUAUCAGUAUGGGCAUGCAUGGAACGCAAUCCACGUUGUGCAUUGCGUUUACGUAGAUUAGCAGCAUAGAACUAACUGCGAAUUUGUCAUUGCCAACAAGUGUCAUUCAGACAAUGUAUGAAUGGAUUAGUGUAGUACAUGCAACUUGUAUUUGCUAUUGUAGAUGGAAAAGUAGAAUAGUAGCUAAGGGUGAGAUUUGUAAAGAAAUGAAACUGUGAAAGCAAAUUAAUUUAUGUGGCUAAAAUUGAUCAAGUACUUUUCUUUACACUGUACUAGAUCAGCAGGCUAUGAUUACUACUAGUGGAUGCUUGCAAUCAUUGUUUGUACAAUCAUUCACAAUCACAAAUUACACCUAUUUUCACAUUAUUUUCCACCAAAGAUCCUAUCGCUUGCUGCUCAUGUAAAAAAUUCUAGAAUUCCUUCUACCUUACACUUUGUACUGCCUUCAUUAUCAAAACUGCAUUAUCGGUCAGUGUCAUCUUUGCCCUACUCUUGUCUUAUCGUCUUAUUCGCUUUGCCCAAAACAUGGUGGACGAAAAACGCUUUUCUAUGCAUGUCUAGGCUUUUGCCUUAAUUAGUUAACUUCUGUCGCAAUCCCGAUUGUUGCUUGCAUCCGGCGACUGCCACACCAUUUCACUGUCUUUCAUCGUUUCUUCUUAUUCCUUUGUU
Molecule: long non-coding RNA, 1148 nt
Filed under: Schizosaccharomyces pombe (fission yeast)
Lineage: Eukaryota; Fungi; Ascomycota; Schizosaccharomycetes; Schizosaccharomycetales; Schizosaccharomycetaceae
Source: RNAcentral